UACGGAAGGCAGCAGUGGGGAAUAUUGCACAAUGGGCGCAAGCCUGAUGCAGCCAUGCCGCGUGUAUGAAGAAGGCCUUCGGGUUGUAAAGUACUUUCAGUCGUGAGGAAGGUGUUAAGGUUAAUAACCUUAGCAAUUGACGUUAGCGACAGAAGAAGCACCGGCUAACUCCGUGCCAGCAGCCGCGGUAAUACGGAGGGUGCGAGCGUUAAUCGGAAUUACUGGGCGUAAAGGGCACGCAGGCGGUUAAUUAAGUUGGAUGUGAAAUCCCCGGGCUUAACCUGGGAAUGGCAUUCAAGACUGGUUAGCUAGAGUCUUGUAGAGGUGGGUAGAAUUCCAUGUGUAGCGGUGAAAUGCGUAGAGAUGUGGAGGAAUACCGGUGGCGAAGGCGGCCCCUGGGACAAAGACUGACGCUCAUGUGCGAAAGCGUGGGGAGCAAACAGGGAUUAGAUACC
RNAcentral lists this ribosomal RNA (455 nucleotides) under uncultured bacterium. RNAcentral's name for it is "bacterial SSU rRNA". It matches the Rfam family "Bacterial small subunit ribosomal RNA", at positions 340 to 786 of the family's 1533-position model. The record is from RNAcentral.